RNAcentral lists this ribosomal RNA (808 nucleotides) under Rhizocarpon geographicum. RNAcentral's name for it is "partial large subunit ribosomal RNA". The stretch from base 1 to 337 matches the Rfam family "Bacterial large subunit ribosomal RNA", at positions 1010 to 1301 of the family's 2925-position model. Lineage: Eukaryota; Fungi; Ascomycota; Lecanoromycetes; Rhizocarpales; Rhizocarpaceae. The record is from RNAcentral.
GUCUAAAGGGAAACAGCCCAGAACAAGAGUUAAUAAGGUUCCAAAAUUAUUGUUAAGUGAAAAUAAGGUAGUGUUUAUCCAAGCCAACCAGGAAAUGGGCUUAGGAGCGGCCAUUUUUUAAAGACCUCGUAACAGAGCACUGGUUUUAUACAAUUUUGUAUGUAUUGUUAGAUGCACCUAAAAUUUAACGGAUCUAAAUAAUAUACCGAGACCUUGUCCAUAAAUAUUUUUAUGUACAAGUUACAUAGAAUAUAUAUGGGGUAGCGGAACAUUGGGCAUAUCUCAGAUUUUUUCUUUUUAAGACUUAAGAUUAGAUGGCCCAAGUGAUAAUGCUGACAUGAGUAACGAUAAAGGGUUUAUACCCUCGCCUAAAGCUUAUGGAAUUUACUUAAAGUAACGGCCUCUAAGUUUAAAUUUGCUAUAGUUUAAACAAACAACACUUGAUACCUAACUCUAACAGACGAUACAAGUGCAAAAUAGUAAAUACCUAAUGGUAUAAACGAUGAGAAAAAGCUAAGUUUUACAGAUAUAAAUAGCAUGAGUGUUGCAGGUAGGUAUUAUAUAUAUAACGGAUUUAUUUUUUUUAUUCUUUUUAUGCGUUAUUAUCCUUUGCACUAUUCUGGUGUAUCGGUUGCUCUGGAUAGUGCAAGGGAUAAAAAGUAAAUAAAAUAAUUAAUAGAAACUAGAAAAAUUAUAGAUUUAAUAGUUAUUUUGUGCUAAAGUGACAAAUGCUCUGGAAAAAUGUAAAACUACUGACGUGUUAGAGAGUAGGCGAGGUUCAAUCCCUUGUCCAUUAAUAAGCUAAUAG